GCAAUAUUACAAUAAGGACUGGG
This 23-nucleotide non-coding RNA is filed under the name Cricetulus griseus (Chinese hamster). The record is from RNAcentral. Lineage: Eukaryota; Metazoa; Chordata; Mammalia; Rodentia; Cricetidae.